AUUGAACGCUGGCGGCAUGCUUUACACAUGCAAGUCGAACGGUAACAGGCCGCAAGGUGCUGACGAGUGGCGAACGGGUGAGUAAUGCAUCGGAACGUGCCCAGUCGUGGGGGAUAACUACUCGAAAGAGUAGCUAAUACCGCAUACGAUCUAUGGAUGAAAGCGGGGGACCGUAAGGCCUCGCGCGAUUGGAGCGGCCGAUGUCAGAUUAGGUAGUUGGUGGGGUAAAGGCUCCCCAAGCCAACGAUCUGUAGCUGGUCUGAGAGGACGACCAGCCACACUGGGACUGAGACACGGCCCAGACUCCUACGGGAGGCAGCAGUGGGGAAUUUUGGACAAUGGGCGCAAGCCUGAUCCAGCAAUGCCGCGUGCAGGAAGAAGGCCUUCGGGUUGUAAACUGCUUUUGUACGGAACGAAACGGCUCUGGUUAAUACCCGGGGCUAAUGACGGUACCGUAAGAAUAAGCACCGGCUAACUACGUG
Molecule: ribosomal RNA, 482 nt
Filed under: uncultured bacterium
Lineage: Bacteria
Description: partial 16S ribosomal RNA
Rfam family: Bacterial small subunit ribosomal RNA
Source: RNAcentral